Molecule: ribosomal RNA, 497 nt
Filed under: uncultured bacterium
Lineage: Bacteria
Description: partial 16S ribosomal RNA
Rfam family: Bacterial small subunit ribosomal RNA
Source: RNAcentral
GAUGAACGCUGGCGGCGUGCCUAAUACAUGCAAGUCGAGCGAACGGACGAGAAGCUUGCUUCUCUGAUGUUAGCGGCGGACGGGUGAGUAACACGUGGAUAACCUACCUAUAAGACUGGGAUAACUUCGGGAAACCGUAGCUAAUACCGGAUAAUAUUUUGAACCGCAUGGUUCAAAAGUGAAAGACGGUCUUGCUGUCACUUAUAGAUGGAUCCGCGCUGCAUUAGCUAGUUGGUAAGGUAACGGCUUACCAAGGCAACGAUGCAUAGCCGACCUGAGAGGGUGAUCGGCCACACUGGAACUGGGACACGGUCCAGCCGCCUACGGGAGGCAGCAGUAGGGAAUCUUCCGCAGAGGGCGAAAGCCUGACGGAGCAACGCCGCGUGAGUGAUGAAGGUCUUCGGAUCGUAAAACUCUGUUAUUAGGGAAGAACAUAUGUGUAAGUAACUGUGCACAUCUUGACGGUACCUAAUCAGAAAGCCACGGCUAACUACGUG